RNAcentral lists this ribosomal RNA (497 nucleotides) under uncultured bacterium. Its description in RNAcentral is "bacterial SSU rRNA". It matches the Rfam family "Bacterial small subunit ribosomal RNA", at positions 28 to 517 of the family's 1533-position model. The record is from RNAcentral.
GAUGAACGCUAGCGGCAGGCUUAAUACAUGCAAGUCGAGGGGCAGCAUGACUGUAGCAAUACAGUUGAUGGCGACCGGCAAACGGGUGCGGAACACGUACAGAACCUUCCUUCGAGCGGGGAAUAGCCCAGAGAAAUUUGGAUUAAUACCCCAUAGUACAACGGAGUGGCAUCACUUUGUUGUUAAAGAUUUAUCACUUGAAGAUGGCUGUGCGGCUGAUUAGGCAGUUGGCGGGGUAACGGCCCACCAAGCCUGCGAUCAGUAACUGGUGUGAGAGCACGACCAGUCACACGGGCACUGAGACACGGGCCCGACUCCUACGGGAGGCAGCAGUAAGGAAUAUUGGUCAAUGGACGAAAGUCUGAACCAGCCAUGCCGCGUGGAGGAUGAAGGGUCCUCUGGAUUGUAAACUUCUGUUAUAUGGACGAAAAAGGGUUUCUAACUCGUCUGACGGUACCAUAUGAAUAAGCACCGGCUAAACUCCGUGCCAGCAGCCG